CCUACGGGAGGCAGCAGUGAGGAAUAUUGGUCAAUGGACGAGAGUCUGAACCAGCCAAGUAGCGUGAAGGAUGACUGCCCUAUGGGUUGUAAACUUCUUUUAUAAAGGAAUAAAACGAGGCACGUGUGCCGUUUUGCAUGUACUUUAUGAAUAAGGAUCGGCUAAUUCCGUGCCAGCAGCCGCGGUAAUACGGAGGAUCCGAGCGUUAUCCGGAUUUAUUGGGUUUAAAGGGAGCGUAGAUGGGUUGUUAAGUCAGUUGUGAAAGUUUGCGGCUCAACCGUAAAAUUGCAAUUGAUACUGGCAGUCUUGAGUACAGUUGAGGUAGGCGGAAUUCGUGGUGUAGCGGUGAAAUGCUUAGAUAUCACGAAGAACCCCGAUUGCGAAGGCAGCUUACUAAACUGUGACUGACAUUGAUGCUCGAAAGUGUGGGUAUCAAACAGGAUUAGAUACCCCUGUAGUC
This 460-nucleotide ribosomal RNA is filed under the name uncultured bacterium. Its description in RNAcentral is "partial 16S ribosomal RNA". It matches the Rfam family "Bacterial small subunit ribosomal RNA", at positions 338 to 795 of the family's 1533-position model. The record is from RNAcentral.